GUAUGGUGCAAGCGUUAUCCGGAUUUACUGGGUGUAAAGGGAGCGUAGACGGAUUUGCAAGUCUGAAGUGAAAGCCCGGGGCUCAACCCCGGGACUGCUUUGGAAACUGUAGGUCUUGAGUGCUGGAGAGGUAAGUGGAAUUCCUAGUGUAGCGGUGAAAUGCGUAGAUAUUAGGAGGAACACCAGUGGCGAAGGCGGCUUACUGGACAGUAACUGACGUUGAGGCUCGAAAGCGUGGGGAGCAAACAGGAUUAGAUACCCUGGUAGUCCACGCCGUAAACGAUGACUGCUAGGUGUCGGGUGGCAAAGCCAUUCGGUGCCGCAGCUAACGCAAUAAGCAGUCCACCUGGGGAGUACGUUCGCAAGAAUG
This 370-nucleotide ribosomal RNA is filed under the name uncultured bacterium. RNAcentral's name for it is "bacterial SSU rRNA". It matches the Rfam family "Bacterial small subunit ribosomal RNA", at positions 527 to 896 of the family's 1533-position model. The record is from RNAcentral.